GAUGAACGCUAGCGGCAGGCUUAAUACAUGCAAGUCGAGGGGCAGCAGGACUGUAGCAAUACAGUUGCUGGCGACCGGCAAACGGGUGCGGAACACGUACGCAACCUACCCAAAACUGGGGGAUAGCCCGGGGAAACCCGGAUUAAUACCUCGUAACCUUUUUAAGUGGCAUCACUUGAUAAGUAUAGCUCCGGCGGUUUUGGAUGGGCGUGCGCCUGAUUAGGUAGUUGGUGCGGGUAACGGCCCACCAAGCCUGCGAUCAGUAACUGGUGUGAGAGCACGACCAGUCACACGGGCACUGAGACACGGGCCCGACUCCUACGGGAGGCAGCAGUAAGGAAUAGUGGUCAAUGGACGCAAGUCUGAACCAGCCAUGCCGAGUGAAGGAUGAAGGUCCUCUGGAUUGUAAACUUCUUUUAUGGGGGACGAAACCCGGAUAUGCUUAUCCGAUUGACGGUACCUCAGGAAUAAGCACCGGCUAACUCCGU
This 488-nucleotide ribosomal RNA is filed under the name uncultured bacterium. RNAcentral describes it as "partial 16S ribosomal RNA". It matches the Rfam family "Bacterial small subunit ribosomal RNA", at positions 28 to 506 of the family's 1533-position model. The record is from RNAcentral.